This 74-nucleotide transfer RNA is filed under the name Rhizophydium sp. 136. RNAcentral describes it as "tRNA-Leu". It matches the Rfam family "tRNA". From Rfam's summary of the family: Transfer RNA (tRNA) molecules are approximately 80 nucleotides in length. Their secondary structure includes four short double-helical elements and three loops (D, anti-codon, and T loops). The record is from RNAcentral. Lineage: Eukaryota; Fungi; Chytridiomycota; Chytridiomycetes; Rhizophydiales; Rhizophydiaceae.
GCCCCUAUAGAAGAAUUGGUAGAUUCAUCGGUCUCUAAAAUCGAAUUUUGUUGGUUCAAGUCCAACUAGGGGUA